This 483-nucleotide ribosomal RNA is filed under the name uncultured bacterium. RNAcentral's name for it is "partial 16S ribosomal RNA". It matches the Rfam family "Bacterial small subunit ribosomal RNA", at positions 28 to 507 of the family's 1533-position model. The record is from RNAcentral.
GACGAACGCUGGCGGCGUGCUUAACACAUGCAGGUCGAACGCUGAAGCUCAGCUUUUGUUGGGUGGAUGAGUGGCGAACGGGUGAGUAACACGUGAGUAACCUGCCUCCUUCUUUGGGAUAACGCCCGGAAACGGGUGCUAAUACUGGAUAUUCACUGGUCUUCGCAUGGGGGUUGGUGGAAAGGGUUUUUCUGGUGGGGGAUGGGCUCGCGGCCUAUCAGCUUGUUGGUGGGGUGAUGGCCUACCAAGGCUUUGACGGGUAGCCGGCCUGAGAGGGUGACCGGUCACAUUGGGACUGAGAUACGGCCCAGACUCCUACGGGAGGCAGCAGUGGGGAAUAUUGCACAAUGGGCGCAAGCCUGAUGCAGCGACGCAGCGUGAGGGAUGGAGGCCUUCGGGUUGUGAACCUCUUUCGCUCAUGGUCAAGCCGCAACAAUGGUUGUGGUGAGGGUAGUGGGUAAAGAAGCGCCGGCUAACUACGUG